RNAcentral lists this ribosomal RNA (915 nucleotides) under uncultured marine archaeon. RNAcentral's name for it is "bacterial SSU rRNA". It matches the Rfam family "Archaeal small subunit ribosomal RNA", at positions 1 to 922 of the family's 1478-position model. The record is from RNAcentral.
UUCCGGUUGAUCCCGCCGGAGGCUACCGCUAUUGGAGUUCGAUUAAGCCAUGCGAGUCGCGAGUCUUAGGGACUCGGCGUACCGCUCAGUAACACGUGGGUAACCUGCCCUAUGCUGGGGGAUAACCUCGGGAAACUGAGAAUAAUACCCCAUAGUUCACCACGCCUGGAACGGUGGGUGGAUGAAAGCUCCGGCGGCAUAGGAUGGGCCUGCGGCGUAUCAGGUUGUAGGGGGUGUAAUGUACCCUCUAGCCAUCUACGCGUACGGGUGUUGGGAGACAUCGCCCGGAGAUGGAUUCUGAGACACGAAUCCAGACCCUACGGGGUGCAGCAGGCGCGAAAACUUGGCAAUGCGAGCAAUCGUGACCAGGGAACUCCAAGUGCAUCGGGUAAGACCGAUGCUUUUCUUGACUCUUCAAAGGUCUUGGAAUAAGGGGUGGGUAAGGACGGUGCCAGCCGCCGCGGUAAUACCGGCGCCUCAAGUGGUAGUCGCUUUUAUUGGGCCUAAAACGUCCGUAGCCGGUUUGGUACAUUCGUGGGUAAAUCAAGGCGCUCAACGUCUUGAAUUCUGCGAGCACGGCCAGACUUGGGACCGGGUGAGGUGUGGGGUACUCUCAGGGUAGGGGUAAAAUCCUGUCAUCCUGAGAGGACCACCUGUUGCGAAGGCGCCACACUAGAACGGAUCCGACGGUCAGGGACGAAGCCUAGGGGCACGAACCGGAUUAGAUACCCGGGUAGUCCUAGGUGUAAACGCUGUGGACUUGAUGUUGGGAGUGCUCCGAGCACCCUCAGUGUCGAAGCGAAGGUGAUAAGUCCACUGCCUGGGGAGUACGGUCGCAAGGCUGAAACUUAAAGGAAUUGGCGGGGGAGCACUGCAACCUGAGGAUUGUGCGGUUUAAUUGGAGUCAACGCCGGA